Molecule: ribosomal RNA, 468 nt
Filed under: uncultured bacterium
Lineage: Bacteria
Description: partial 16S ribosomal RNA
Rfam family: Bacterial small subunit ribosomal RNA
Source: RNAcentral
GACGAACGCUGGCGGCGUGCUUAACACAUGCAAGUCGAACGGAAAGGCCCUGCUUUUGUGGGGUGCUCGAGUGGCGAACGGGUGAGUAACACGUGAGUAACCUGCCCUUGACUUUGGGAUAACUUCAGGAAACUGGGGCUAAUACCGGAUAGGAUCUCCUGCUGCACGGGGGGGGUUGGUAAGUGUCGGCGGUUGGGGAUGGACUCGCUGCUUAUCAGCUUGUUGGGGUGGUAGUUACUUACCACGGCUUUGAGGGGUAGCCUGCCUGGGAGGGUGGACAGGGACCAUGGGACUGAGAGACGGCCCAGACGGCUACGGGAGGCAGCGGUGGGGAGUCUGACAGAGCGGGCCGGAGCGUGAUGCAGCAACGCCGCGUGCGGAAUACCGGCCUUCGGGUUAUAAACCGCUUUCGCAUGUGACGAAGCGUGAGUGACGGUAAUGAGUAAAGAAGCACCGGCUAACUACGUG